AACACGGAAACAGAUGCUAAUACCGGAUAACAACAGAUGAUGCCUAUCAACUGUUUAAAAGAUGGUUCUGCUAUCACUCUUGGAUGGACCUGCGGUGCAUUAGCUAGUUGGUAGGGUAACGGCCUACCAAGGCGAUGAUGCAUAGCCGAGUUGAGAGACUGAUCGGCCACAUUGGGACUGAGACACGGCCCAAACUCCUACGGGAGGCAGCAGC
RNAcentral lists this ribosomal RNA (214 nucleotides) under uncultured Lactobacillus sp. Its description in RNAcentral is "partial 16S ribosomal RNA". It matches the Rfam family "Bacterial small subunit ribosomal RNA", at positions 145 to 355 of the family's 1533-position model. The record is from RNAcentral. Lineage: Bacteria; Bacillati; Bacillota; Bacilli; Lactobacillales; Lactobacillaceae.